CGCGCGCCUAAGCCUUUAGAAAGGAGCCGAGUUAUCGACUCCGCUGCCGCAGUAAAACGCGCGACAGUGUUCGCUUCGCGAAGAGAUGUGGUUCCGUUCGAGGAAGCGGAGGCGAAGCUCGGGUUCCCAAAGUUACACGGGUGCCCCCCGCAGGCGAGUGCUUACACCUGCGUGAGCAGCUGCGGAAUAAAAGCUGGGGGAAACUUUGCCGAAUUCGAAAAUCAAAAGGUGGGGACGGCCGGCAGCGUGUGCUGGUUUCCCUCGCAGCCUCCAGCUCGCAAGGGCUUAUCCAGAAGCCUAAAGCGGACGCUGUCGCUAAGCGAAGAGGCAGCUCCACGGUGCCCGGGGGGGGAGGAUCGCGGCAGCUCGCCCGGGUCUCCCCUCCGGCGGGCGGCGGCCUCCCGCGUCGCUCGGCUGCAGGCAAGAACAGGCCUCGCCACGGCCCCUCACGCGGCCCCUCCUCCCGGCCGCCGACCCCAGGCCUUCCCGGUUCUGCAAAGCGCCAGCGCACCGCGCAGCUCGGGAGGACGGGGAAACAGAAAGAGGCUUUUCCCACCUUGUGGCCUCCUGCCUGCCUGUGAAGAGGAGCUAAGCAGCACCCGGAGAGGUAGAGAAUAA
This 618-nucleotide long non-coding RNA is filed under the name Apteryx owenii (little spotted kiwi). RNAcentral's name for it is "lncRNA (ENSAOWG00000010580.1)". The record is from RNAcentral. Lineage: Eukaryota; Metazoa; Chordata; Aves; Apterygiformes; Apterygidae.